RNAcentral lists this ribosomal RNA (234 nucleotides) under uncultured bacterium. Its description in RNAcentral is "partial 16S ribosomal RNA". It matches the Rfam family "Bacterial small subunit ribosomal RNA", at positions 96 to 334 of the family's 1533-position model. The record is from RNAcentral.
CGGCGGACGGGUGAGUAAUGCCUGGGAAAUUGCCCUGAUGUGGGGGAUAACCAUUGGAAACGAUGGCUAAUACCGCAUAACGUCUACGGACCAAAGGGGGGACCUUCGGGCCUCUCGCUUCAGGAUAUGCCCAGGUGGGAUUAGCUAGUUGGUGAGGUAAUGGCUCACCAAGGCGACGAUCCCUAGCUGGUCUGAGAGGAUGAUCAGCCACACUGGAACUGAGACACGGUCCAG